RNAcentral lists this ribosomal RNA (605 nucleotides) under Brevibacterium sp. CMT53. RNAcentral describes it as "bacterial SSU rRNA". It matches the Rfam family "Bacterial small subunit ribosomal RNA", at positions 271 to 885 of the family's 1533-position model. The record is from RNAcentral. Lineage: Bacteria; Bacillati; Actinomycetota; Actinomycetes; Micrococcales; Brevibacteriaceae.
AGACGACGACGGGUAGCCGGCCUGAGAGGGCGACCGGCCACACUGGGACUGAGACACGGCCCAGAMCCCUASGGGAGGCAGCAGUGGGGAAUAUUGCACAAUGGGGGAAACCCUGAUGCAGCGACGCAGCGUGCGGGAUGACGGCCUUCGGGUUGUAAACCGCUUUCAGCAGGGAAGAAGCGCAAGUGACGGUACCUGCAGAAGAAGUACCGGCUAACUACGUGCCAGCAGCCGCGGUAAUACGUAGGGUACGAGCGUUGUCCGGAAUUAUUGGGCGUAAAGAGCUCGUAGGUGGUUGGUCACGUCUGCUGUGGAAACGCAACGCUUAACGUUGCGCGUGCAGUGGGUACGGGCUGACUAGAGUGCAGUAGGGGAGUCUGGAAUUCCUGGUGUAGCGGUGAAAUGCGCAGAUAUYAGGAGGAACACCGGUGGCGAAGGCGGGACUCUGGGCUGUAACUGACACUGAGGAGCGAAAGCAUGGGGAGCGAACAGGAUUAGAUACCCUGGUAGUCCAUGCCGUAAACGUUGGGCACUAGGUGUGGGGGGCAUUCCACGUUCUCCGCGCCGUAGCUAACGCAUUAAGUGCCCCGCCUGGGGGAGUACGG